GCGAUCGUAGCUCAGUUGGUUAGAGCAUCGGUUUGUGGUACCGAGGGUCGGGGGUUCAAGUCCCCUCGAUCGCCCCA
This 77-nucleotide transfer RNA is filed under the name Alphaproteobacteria bacterium. RNAcentral describes it as "tRNA-His". It matches the Rfam family "tRNA". From Rfam's summary of the family: Transfer RNA (tRNA) molecules are approximately 80 nucleotides in length. Their secondary structure includes four short double-helical elements and three loops (D, anti-codon, and T loops). Further hydrogen bonds mediate the characteristic L-shaped molecular structure. tRNAs have two regions of fundamental functional importance: the anti-codon, which is responsible for specific mRNA codon recognition, and the 3' end, to which the tRNAs corresponding amino acid is attached (by aminoacyl-tRNA synthetases). tRNAs cope with the degeneracy of the genetic code in two manners: having more than one tRNA (with a specific anti-codon) for a particular amino acid; and 'wobble' base-pairing, i.e. permitting non-standard base-pairing at the 3rd anti-codon position. Lineage: Bacteria; Pseudomonadati; Pseudomonadota; Alphaproteobacteria. The record is from RNAcentral.